Molecule: transfer RNA, 73 nt
Filed under: Canis lupus familiaris (dog)
Lineage: Eukaryota; Metazoa; Chordata; Mammalia; Carnivora; Canidae
Also listed under: 1 other name
Rfam family: tRNA
About the family: Transfer RNA (tRNA) molecules are approximately 80 nucleotides in length.
Source: Rfam by way of RNAcentral
GCCUGGUUGGCUCAGUUGGUAGAGCUUUAGAUUCUUGAUCUGCAGAUUGUGGGUUGGAGCUCCACAUCCGGUA